CUUCAAUAUCUUGCAUGUUACAGAUUUCACUACUCCCACCAGCUUGGAGACAACAUGUGGUUCUUGACAACUCUGCUCCUUUGGGUUCCAGUUGAUGGGCAAGUGGACACCACAAAGGCAGUGAUCACUUUGCAGCCUCCAUGGGUCAGCGUGUUCCAAGAGGAAACCAUAACCUUGCACUGUGAGGUGCUCCAUCUGCCUGGGAGCAGCUCCACACAGUGGUUUCUCAAUGGCACAGCCACUCAGACCUCGACCCCCAGCUACAGAAUCACCUCUGCCAGUGUCAAUGACAGUGGUGAAUACAGGUGCCAGAGAGGUCUCUCAGGGCGAAGUGACCCCAUACAGCUGGAAAUCCACAGAGGCUGGCUACUACUGCAGGUCUCCAGCAGAGUCUUCAUGGAAGGAGAACCUCUGGCCUUGAGGUGUCAUGCGUGGAAGGAUAAGCUGGUGUACAAUGUGCUUUACUAUCGAAAUGGCAAAGCCUUUAAGUUUUUCCACUGGAAUUCUAACCUCACCAUUCUGAAAACCAACAUAAGUCACAAUGGCACCUACCAUUGCUCAGGCAUGGGAAAGCAUCGCUACACAUCAGCAGGAAUAUCACAAUACACUGUGAAAGCAAGACCCUGCGAGGCAGGAACACAUCCUCUGAAUACCAAAUACUAACUGCUAGAAGAGAAGACUCUGGGUUAUACUGGUGCGAGGCUGCCACAGAGGAUGGAAAUGUCCUUAAGCACAGCCCUGAGUUGGAGCUUCAAGUGCUUGGCCUCCAGUUACCAACUCCUGUCUGGUUUCAUGUCCUUUUCUAUCUGGCAGUGGGAAUAAUGUUUUUAGUGAACACUGUUCUCUGGGUGACAAUACGUAAAGAACUGAAAAGAAAGAAAAAGUGGAAUUUAGAAAUCUCUUUGGAUUCUGGUCAUGAGAAGAAGGUAAUUUCCAGCCUUCAAGAAGACAGACAUUUAGAAGAAGAGCUGAAAUGUCAGGAACAAAAAGAAGAACAGCUGCAGGAAGGGGUGCACCGGAAGGAGCCCCAGGGGGCCACGUAGCAGCGGCUCAGUUGGUGGCCAUCGAUCUGGACCGUCCCCUGCCCACUUGCUCCCCGUGAGCACUGCGUACAAACAUCCAAAAGUUCAACAACACCAGAACUGUGUGUCUCAUGGUAUAUAACUCUUAAAGCAAAUAAAUGAACUGACUUCAACUGG
Homo sapiens (human) is the source of this 1199-nucleotide long non-coding RNA. Ensembl annotates it as Fc gamma receptor Ib, pseudogene. Its record names the gene FCGR1BP. The record is from Ensembl. NCBI's taxonomy places the organism in Eukaryota, Metazoa, Chordata, Mammalia, Primates, Hominidae.